AUUAAUUAACUAAACUAUUAAACACAUAUCUCGACUAUUCGAAAAACGCAGCUUUUCACAAUAGAUCUAAACGUAAUUGGUAAAAAAAAUUCGGCAUAAAACAUUAACAACUGUCAGUAAUCACAGUAAAUAAGAAAAUGCUAGUAAAAAACUUACCUCAAGUUCUCAACUAAUCACAUCUCACAAGCAAACACCACAUCACUCACUUUUCAGAUUCGAAGAAAAUGGGCUUUUGAUACAUACUGUUCCUCCACCCCCAAAUGCUGAAAAACCAGAAAUCCAAGCAAGCAAGAGCCGAUGCUCGAUUGAGGAACUUGAAUGGAAAAUCUUCAGCAAGAUCGCGCAGAGAGAGAGAGAGUGUGUGUCUGUGUGUGUGUGGAUUGAGAGCAGGAGAAAGACAGAGGAGAGAGAGGGGGGCGAAGAAUGGAGCAUACAAAUAAUUAUUGUAAUAAUAAUUAUUCAUAAAGAAAAAGGACGCUG
This 480-nucleotide long non-coding RNA is filed under the name Olea europaea subsp. europaea. The record is from RNAcentral. Lineage: Eukaryota; Viridiplantae; Streptophyta; Magnoliopsida; Lamiales; Oleaceae.